RNAcentral lists this ribosomal RNA (543 nucleotides) under uncultured bacterium. Its description in RNAcentral is "bacterial LSU rRNA". It matches the Rfam family "Bacterial large subunit ribosomal RNA", at positions 623 to 1166 of the family's 2925-position model. The record is from RNAcentral.
GCGACUUACGUUCAGUAGCGAGCUUAACCGAGUAGGGGAGGCGUAGGGAAACCGAGUCCGAAUAGGGCGCAUAGUUGCUGGGCGUAGACCCGAAAACCAAGUGAUCUAUCCAUGGCCAGGUUGAAGGUGCCGUAACAGGUACUGGAGGACCGAACCCACUAGUGUUGCAAAACUAGGGGAUGAGCUGUGGAUAGGGGUGAAAGGCUAAACAAACUUGGAAAUAGCUGGUUCUCUCCGAAAACUAUUUAGGUAGUGCCUCACGUAUCACUCUCGGGGGUAGAGCACUGUCAUGGCUAGGGGGUCAUCGCGACUUACCAAACCAUAGCAAACUCCGAAUACCGAGAAGUGCGAGCGUGGGAGACAGACAUCGGGUGCUAACGUCCGGUGUCAAGAGGGAAACAACCCAGACCGCCAGCUAAGGUCCCAAAUGACGUGCUAAGCGGUAAACGAAGUGGGAAGGCAUAGACAGCCAGGAUGUUGGCUUAGAAGCAGCCAUCAUUAAAGAAGACGUAAUAGCUCACUGGUCGAGUCGUCCUGCGACGG